GUAAAAAUUAAAGCUUUUUGCCUCAAAAAUUGAUACAGUCAGACAGGGCAAAUGGCUCGCUCCGCGCAUCUGACGGCACACGCAUAACAUUUAUCCCUUUGCGUACAGCCGAGCGCAGCUUCAAGGCUGCACACUGAACCCGAUAAUCAUGGGCAAAGCAGCAAUUGGAGACACUCAUCACAACAAACAACAUUCUGAGCAACAAAAACAACUAUAAACAGUUACAAUUACGCACGCACGAGUUGCGAAUUACUGACACACAUUGUUAUCCUGUCGACAGCACCGAUAUCUGAUUGUUGGUGCGUGAUGGGUUAAUGAAUGGGCUAAAAUACAUCAUUUGCUUAAAUUUUAAUGCGAUUUAUAGAACCGUUCAUAAGUAACUGGUUUACAUACAAUUUAACCUGUGAUCAAGGCGCAUGCUUAUUUCUGCUAGUAUUUUUUAGAAAUGCAAUUGUAAAUAUUAAUGUUAUUAAAAAAUUUCGGUACAAUCCAAUACCCGCCAAAUUGUGCUAACGGUAAAAUAAGCGGAGAAAUUGUAAAGUUUA
Long non-coding RNA from Bactrocera oleae (olive fruit fly), 545 nucleotides. RefSeq lists it as uncharacterized. The record is from RefSeq and is a predicted model, not a curated record. Lineage: Eukaryota; Metazoa; Arthropoda; Insecta; Diptera; Tephritidae.